RNAcentral lists this ribosomal RNA (121 nucleotides) under Pteropus vampyrus (large flying fox). Lineage: Eukaryota; Metazoa; Chordata; Mammalia; Chiroptera; Pteropodidae. The record is from RNAcentral.
CCUUAUAGCCAUGCCACCCUGAACAAGCCCGAUCUCGUCUGAUUUCAGAAGCUAAGCAGGGUCGGGCCUGGUUAGUACUUGGAUGGGAGACCACCUAGGAAGACCCAGGUGCCUGUAGGCA